CUUCAUCGUCAAGAGGGAAACAGCCCAGACCACCAGUUAAGGUCCCCAAAUCAUCGCUAAGUGAUAAAGGAGGUGGGAGUGCACAGACAACUAGGAGGUUUGCCUAGAAGCAGCCACCCUUGAAAGAGUGCGUAAUAGCUCACUAGUCAAGCGCUCCUGCGCCGAAAAUGAACGGGGCUAAGCGAUGUACCGAAACUGUGGACUUACAUUGUAAGUGGUAGGGGAGCGUUCCGUAGUAGGUUGAAGCAGUAGCGGCAAGCAGCUGUGGACGAGACGGAAGUGAGAAUGUCGGCUUGAGUAGCGCAAACAUUGGUGAGAAUCCAAUGCCCCGAAACCCUAAGGGUUCCAGAGCCAGGUUCGUCCGCUCUGGGUGAGUCGGGUCCUAAGGCGAGGCCGAACGGCGUAGUCGAUGGACACAGGGUGAAUAUUCCCUGACUAUAAUGUGGGAGCAUUGCUAGGGACGCAUGAAAAAUAGCCAUACCCUGAUUGGUUUGGGAGGAGUUUACGAACUCCGCAUGGUGAAAGAUAGUGCCAAGAAAAGCU
This 543-nucleotide ribosomal RNA is filed under the name Nostoc sp. UTEX 2210. RNAcentral describes it as "bacterial LSU rRNA". It matches the Rfam family "Bacterial large subunit ribosomal RNA", at positions 1003 to 1619 of the family's 2925-position model. The record is from RNAcentral. Lineage: Bacteria; Bacillati; Cyanobacteriota; Cyanophyceae; Nostocales; Nostocaceae.